Phthorimaea operculella (potato tuberworm) is the source of this 70-nucleotide non-coding RNA. The record is from the annotation of a GenBank genome assembly. NCBI's taxonomy places the organism in Eukaryota, Metazoa, Arthropoda, Insecta, Lepidoptera, Gelechiidae.
GUCUGUGGCGCAGUGGUAGUGCGACUGCCCGCGACGCAGAAGGUUCUGGGUUCAAUUUCCCGGUGGGUCA